GAUCUGGCUCAGGAUGAACGCUAGCUACAGGCUUAACACAUGCAAGUCGAGGGGCAGCAUUCCAGUUUGCUUGCAAACUGGAGAUGGCGACCGGCGCACGGGUGAGUAACACGUAUCCAACCUGCCGAUAACUCGGGGAUAGCCUUUCGAAAGAAAGAUUAAUACCCGAUGGCAUAAUAGAACCGCAUGGUUUGAUUAUUAAAGAAUUUCGGUUAUCGAUGGGGAUGCGUUCCAUUAGGCAG
Molecule: ribosomal RNA, 242 nt
Filed under: uncultured bacterium
Lineage: Bacteria
Description: partial 16S ribosomal RNA
Rfam family: Bacterial small subunit ribosomal RNA
Source: RNAcentral